ACUUCAGGGCUAGUCUCCCUUAGAGCAACUUAGGCUGAGAUUUUAACCCACAAUAUCCAGGCUAGCAUGCUAGCCUGAUUCCUUAACCGCUACCGCAUCCUCUGUAAGCCAGAAAAUAAUUGAGAUGUAGUGAGAUACGUGUUUGUAUGUUAAAAUAAUGAUUUUAUACAGUUAGGCAUGUAUCCAAGUAUCAAAUGAAUCAUGCCUUCUCCCUCCGCCCCGUCUCUUCAGCCCCAGGACCGAGGCGUUCAGGUGGCGUGACUGGCAUGCCCUGUCUGCAAUCCUCCCUUUCAGUAAGCCCCAGGACCGAGGCGUUGAGGUGGCGUGACUGGCGUGAAUUCGGCGUGCCCUGUCUGCAAUCCUGCCUUUCAGGGCAGUAAGGACAAGAUCCACCCACCACCCAGUGCAUGCUACAUAUGUGUGUGUAAUAAAUUGAGAGGGAAAAUGUGUGUGUGAUAUAUGAA
Long non-coding RNA from Alosa sapidissima (American shad), 464 nucleotides. RefSeq lists it as uncharacterized. The transcript is spliced from 3 exons. The record is from RefSeq and is a predicted model, not a curated record. NCBI's taxonomy places the organism in Eukaryota, Metazoa, Chordata, Actinopteri, Clupeiformes, Clupeidae.